CAGGAUUCCUAAAUGAAUUGGGCGCUUUGAGGAGAAAUCCUUAAAGUGGAUCUGCUCAAAUUCGGGGAAAGCUUCACAGGAGACUGUAUGCCAAUCCCGAGCCAAGCCUGUUUUAAAAAAACAAGGAAGGUGUAGAGACUGAACGGGCAGCACCUAAAAAGUGUAUACUUCAAGGUGAAGAGACAGUCCAGACCACAAACAG
Molecule: non-coding RNA, 202 nt
Filed under: Bartonella schoenbuchensis
Lineage: Bacteria; Pseudomonadati; Pseudomonadota; Alphaproteobacteria; Hyphomicrobiales; Bartonellaceae
Description: Intron_gpI
Rfam family: Group I catalytic intron
About the family: Group I catalytic introns are large self-splicing ribozymes.
Source: RNAcentral